This 253-nucleotide ribosomal RNA is filed under the name uncultured bacterium. RNAcentral's name for it is "partial 16S ribosomal RNA". It matches the Rfam family "Bacterial small subunit ribosomal RNA", at positions 524 to 776 of the family's 1533-position model. The record is from RNAcentral.
UACGUAGGUGGCGAGCGUUGUCCGGAUUUACUGGGCGUAAAGAGCGUGCAGGCGGUCGUGCAAGUCGCGUGUGAAAGCCCCCGGCUCAACUGGGGAGGGUCACGCGAUACUGCUCGACUUGAAGGCAGGAGAGGGAAGUGGAAUUCCCGGUGUAGUGGUGAAAUGCGUAGAUAUCGGGAGGAACACCAGUGGCGAAGGCGACUUCCUGGCCUGUUCUUGACGCUGAGGCGCGAAAGCUAGGGUAGCAAACGGG